AGAGUUGUAUCCUGGCUCAGAUUGAACGCUGGCGGCAUGCCUUACACAUGCAAGUCGAACGGUAACAGGCCGCAAGGUGCUGACGAGUGGCGAACGGGUGAGUAAUGCAUCGGAACGUGCCCAGUCGUGGGGGAUAACUGCUCGAAAGAGCAGCUAAUACCGCAUACGACCUGAGGGUGAAAGCGGGGGACCGUAAGGCCUCGCGCGAUUGGAGCGGCCGAUGUCAGAUUAGCUAGUUGGUGGGGUAAAGGCCCACCAAGGCAACGAUCUGUAGUUGGUCUGAGAGGACGACCAGCCACACUGGGACUGAGACACGGCCCAGACUCCUACGGGAGGCAGCAGUGGGGAAUUUUGGACAAUGGGCGCAAGCCUGAUCCAGCAAUGCCGCGUGCAGGAAGAAGGCCUUCGGGUUGUAAACUGCUUUUGUCAGGGAAGAAAUCUUCUGGGCUAAUACCCCGGGAGGAUGACGGUACCUGAAGAAUAAGCACCGGCUAACUACGUGCCAGCAGCCGCGGUAAUACGUAGGGUGCGAGCGUUAAUCGGAAUUACUGGGCGUAAAGGGUGCGUAGGCGGUUUAUUAAGUCAGUGGUGAAAGACGGUCGCUCAACGAUUGCAGUGCCAUUGAUACUGGUAGACUUGAGUGAGAUUGAGGUAGCUGGAAUGGAUAGUGUAGCGGUGAAAUG
This 683-nucleotide ribosomal RNA is filed under the name uncultured beta proteobacterium. RNAcentral's name for it is "bacterial SSU rRNA". It matches the Rfam family "Bacterial small subunit ribosomal RNA", at positions 8 to 688 of the family's 1533-position model. The record is from RNAcentral. Lineage: Bacteria; Pseudomonadati; Pseudomonadota; Betaproteobacteria.